RNAcentral lists this ribosomal RNA (600 nucleotides) under Zygaena lonicerae kindermanni. RNAcentral describes it as "partial 12S ribosomal RNA". Lineage: Eukaryota; Metazoa; Arthropoda; Insecta; Lepidoptera; Zygaenidae. The record is from RNAcentral.
UGCGGUUAUACAAAAAUUAAAUUAAAUUUUUUUAGGAUUUAAUAAAUAAAUGUAAAUUAAUAAUUUAAAUUUUAAAUUAUAAAGUGAAAUUUUAAUUUAAUUAAAAUUUAUUUAUUUUUAUGAUAUUAAUAGAUUUUAUAAAAAACUAGGAUUAGAUACCCUACUAUAAAAAUUUAAAUUUAAUAAUCUUGAAAUAGUAUAUAAUUUUUUAUAGAAACUUAAAUAAUUUGGCGGUAUUUUAGUUCAUUUAGAGGAAUCUGUCUAAUAAUUGAUAAUCCACGAUUAAAUUUACUUAAUUUUUAAUUUUGUAUAUCGUUGUUAAAAAAAUAUUUUUAAAUAAAUAUAAUAUUUUAAAAUUUAUAUAAAAAAUUAAAUCAGAUCAAGAUGCAGAUUAUAAUUAAGAAUAUGAUGGAUUACAAUAAAUUUUAUUUUUGAAUAUUAAUUUGUAAAAAUUAAUUGAAAUUGGAUUUAAAUGUAAUUUUAUUUAUUUAAUUAAAAUGAUUUUAAAUUAAAAUAUGUACAUAUUGCCCGUCGCUUUCAUUAAUAAAUUGAAAUAAGUCGUAACAAAGUAGAGGUACUGGAAAGUGUUUCUAGAAAGAU